This 109-nucleotide non-coding RNA is filed under the name Rothia terrae. RNAcentral describes it as "S-adenosyl methionine (SAM) riboswitch". It matches the Rfam family "SAM (S-adenosyl methionine) riboswitch aptamer". From Rfam's summary of the family: SAM-IV is a mRNA element that regulates gene expression via direct sensing of S-adenosylmethionine (SAM or AdoMet). SAM-IV riboswitches share conserved nucleotide positions with the previously described SAM-I riboswitches sequence analysis and molecular recognition experiments suggest that SAM-I and SAM-IV riboswitches share similar ligand binding sites, but have different scaffolds. Lineage: Bacteria; Bacillati; Actinomycetota; Actinomycetes; Micrococcales; Micrococcaceae. The record is from RNAcentral.
GGUCAUGAGAGCCAGCACUAAGCCCCAGCUAGCUGGCCGGCAACCCUCACCGCGGUGGGGUGCCCUGGGUGAAGACCUGGCGUGAAAAAUAUCCUCACGCAAGCGCGGG